RNAcentral lists this ribosomal RNA (492 nucleotides) under uncultured bacterium. RNAcentral's name for it is "partial 16S ribosomal RNA". It matches the Rfam family "Bacterial small subunit ribosomal RNA", at positions 29 to 507 of the family's 1533-position model. The record is from RNAcentral.
AGUGAACGCUGGCGGUAUGCCUAACACAUGCAAGUCGAACGGCAGCACAGUAAGAGCUUGCUCUUACGGGUGGCGAGUGGCGGACGGGUGAGGAAUACAUCGGAAUCUACUUUUUCGUGGGGGAUAACGUAGGGAAACUUACGCUAAUACCGCAUACGACCUACGGGUGAAAGCAGGGGAUCUUCGGACCUUGCGCGAUUGAAUGAGCCGAUGUCGGAUUAGCUAGUUGGCGGGGUAAAGGCCCACCAAGGCGACGAUCCGUAGCUGGUCUGAGAGGAUGAUCAGCCACACUGGAACUGAGACACGGUCCAGACUCCUACGGGAGGCAGCAGUGGGGAAUAUUGGACAAUGGGCGCAAGCCUGAUCCAGCCAUACCGCGUGGGUGAAGAAGGCCUUCGGGUUGUAAAGCCCUUUUGUUGGGAAAGAAAAGCAGCAGGUUAAUACCCCGCUGUUCUGACGGUACCCAAAGAAUAAGCAACGGCUAACUUCGUG